Triticum urartu is the source of this 126-nucleotide non-coding RNA. NCBI's taxonomy places the organism in Eukaryota, Viridiplantae, Streptophyta, Magnoliopsida, Poales, Poaceae. The record is from Rfam.
GAUGUACUCCCUCCGUCUGAAAAAACUUGUCCCUCAAAUGGGUGUAUCUAGCACCAAGUUAGUGCUAGAUACAUCCAUUUGACGAACAAGUUUGGGACAAGUUUUUUCGGACGGAGGGAGUACAUU